GAAUUUGUUUAAUUUUGGCAUUGGAAGCUAUUAAAUUUCAACCGCAUAUUGAGUUAAUGUUAGUAAUAUUAUUAGAAUGCAAAGACAUUGGUUAGCGGUGAAUUCUCAGUAUUUUCGUGUAAAAGCGAUACCGGGAGAGUUUAUCUAGGAGGAUAAGUCACAGUGCCAGCAUCCGCGGUUAUUCUGUUUCCUUUAGCUUCUUUACGGUGCUUUAGGAGGUGCGUUAGUAAAAUUUUGCAGUCAAAUGCGCAAAUUAUCUUAUUAACUCCGCAUCUUGCUACCUUUAUGCCGCUUAUUUGCGAGUCAGAUUUGAUACCUGAUUAGCCGGCAAAAUAUAUAAAUCUUAGUGUAAACUAAAAUAAUUUGGCAGCCAACUACCCCUAGCAGGGGAGGGUGCGCUUUAAAAGAUGCUCCGCUUAAUAAAUAACCAGGCUUAAUUAGUUGGUGUACGUCCGGCUAGACACCCUUAGCGAAAGCUAACAACAGGUGUAAACACUCUGUUUAAGCCAGGUCAAUGUGCUACUUAUAGCCUGGUGGCUGUUCCCUACAUUUAUAAGCUAGACUAGAGUAAUCUACAAAGUUCAGGACUUGCAAGUAAAUAAAAACUAAUCAGUUUUUUUGAAAUGGGUUUAGUUGGGGUACACACCGCCCGUCAACCUCGGCGUUUAAGCUGAGGUAAGUCGUAACAAGGUAGUUUUUGGGGAACCAGAGACUUUUUUGAA
Molecule: ribosomal RNA, 722 nt
Filed under: Cichlidogyrus mbirizei
Lineage: Eukaryota; Metazoa; Platyhelminthes; Monogenea; Dactylogyridea; Ancyrocephalidae
Description: 12S ribosomal RNA
Rfam family: Eukaryotic small subunit ribosomal RNA
Source: RNAcentral